GACGAACGCUGGCGGCGUGCUUAACACAUGCCAGUCGAACGCUGAAGCUCAGCUUUUGUUGGGUGGAUGAGUGGCGAACGGGUGAGUAACACGUGAGUAACCUGCCCCCUUCUUUGGGAUAACGCCCGGAAACGGGUGCUAAUACUGGAUAUUCACUGGUCUUCGCAUGGGGGUUGGUGGAAAGGGUUUUUCUGGUGGGGGAUGGGCUCGCGGCCUAUCAGCUUGUUGGUGGGGUGAUGGCCUACCAAGGCUUUGACGGGUAGCCGGCCUGAGAGGGUGACCGGUCACAUUGGGACUGAGAUACGGCCCAGACUCCUACGGGAGGCAGCAGUGGGGAAUAUUGCACAAUGGGCGCAAGCCUGAUGCAGCGACACCGCGUGAGGGAUGGAGGCCUUCGGGUUGUGAACCUCUUUCGCUCAUGGUCAAGCCGCAACAAUGGUUGUGGUGAGGGUAGUGGGUAAAGAAGCGCCGGCUAACUACGUG
Molecule: ribosomal RNA, 483 nt
Filed under: uncultured bacterium
Lineage: Bacteria
Description: partial 16S ribosomal RNA
Rfam family: Bacterial small subunit ribosomal RNA
Source: RNAcentral